UACAGAGGUGCCAAGCGUUAGGCGGAAUCACUGGGCUUAAAGCGCGCGUAGGCGGAUGUUUAAGUGUCUUGUGAAAUCCCACGGCUCAACCGUGGAACUGCUGGGCAUACUGGACAUCUCGAGGCACUCAGGGGCGAGCGGAACAAGUGGUGGAGCGGUGAAAUGCGUAGAUAUCAAGAGGAACACCUGAGGUGAAGACGGGUUGCUGGGCCAACACUGACGCUGAGGCGCGAAAGCCAGGGGAGCAAACGGG
RNAcentral lists this ribosomal RNA (253 nucleotides) under uncultured bacterium. RNAcentral's name for it is "partial 16S ribosomal RNA". It matches the Rfam family "Bacterial small subunit ribosomal RNA", at positions 524 to 776 of the family's 1533-position model. The record is from RNAcentral.